RNAcentral lists this ribosomal RNA (253 nucleotides) under uncultured bacterium. RNAcentral's name for it is "partial 16S ribosomal RNA". It matches the Rfam family "Bacterial small subunit ribosomal RNA", at positions 524 to 776 of the family's 1533-position model. The record is from RNAcentral.
UACGAAGGGGGCUAGCGUUGCUCAGAAUCACUGGGCGUAAAGCGCACGUAGGCGGGUCUUUAAGUCGGGGGUGAAAUCCUGGAGCUCAACUCCAGAACUGCCUUUGAUACUGCAAAUCUCGAGUCCGGAAGAGGUGAGUGGAAUUCCUAGUGUAGAGGUGAAAUUCGUAGAUAUUAGGAAGAACACCAGUGGCGAAGGCGGCUCACUGGUCCGGUACUGACGCUGAGGUGCGAAAGCGUGGGGAGCAAACAGG